This 743-nucleotide ribosomal RNA is filed under the name Desulfovibrio piger. RNAcentral describes it as "bacterial SSU rRNA". It matches the Rfam family "Bacterial small subunit ribosomal RNA", at positions 24 to 751 of the family's 1533-position model. The record is from RNAcentral. Lineage: Bacteria; Pseudomonadati; Thermodesulfobacteriota; Desulfovibrionia; Desulfovibrionales; Desulfovibrionaceae.
UCAGAUUGAACGCUGGCGGCGUGCUUAACACAUGCAAGUCGUACGCGAAAGGGACUUCGGUCCCGAGUAAAGUGGCGCACGGGUGAGUAACACGUGGAUGAUCUGCCUCUAUGAUGGGGAUAACAGUUGGAAACGACUGCUAAUACCGAAUACGCUCAUGAUGAACGUUGUGAGGAAAGGUGGCCUCUGCUUGCAAGCUAUCGCAUAGAGAUGAGUCCGCGUCCCAUUAGCUCGUUGGUGGGGUAACGGCCUACCAAGGCAACGAUGGGUAGCCGAUCUGAGAGGAUGAUCGGCCACACUGGAACUGAAACACGGUCCAGACUCCUACGGGAGGCAGCAGUGGGGAAUAUUGCGCAAUGGGCGAAAGCCUGACGCAGCGACGCCGCGUGAGGGAUGAAGGUCUUCGGAUCGUAAACCUCUGUCAGAAGGGAAGAAACUGGGGUGUUCUAAUCAGCAUCCCACUGACGGUACCUUCAAAGGAAGCACCGGCUAACUCCGUGCCAGCAGCCGCGGUAAUACGGAGGGUGCAAGCGUUAAUCGGAAUCACUGGGCGUAAAGCGCACGUAGGCUGUUAUGUAAGUCAGGGGUGAAAGCCCACGGCUCAACCGUGGAACUGCCCUUGAUACUGCACGACUCGAAUCCGGGAGAGGGUGGCGGAAUUCCAGGUGUAGGAGUGAAAUCCGUAGAUAUCUGGAGGAACAUCAGUGGCGAAGGCGGCCACCUGGACCGGUAUGACGCUGAGG